AGUGAACGCUGGCGGCAGGCCUAACACAUGCAAGUCGAGCGGCUGAACAGAGCUUGCUCGUGGAUUCGGGGGGGGACGGGUGGGUGGGUCCGAGAAAUCUGCCUGUUUACGUUUUCGUAGGGCCGAACGCGGGCGCUAAUACCGCAAAAGUGCUUAGGGCGAAAGGGGGGGAGCAUGGGACCUUCCGCUCUCACGCGAGUCUAGGUCGCAUUAGCUAGUUGGUGGGGUAAAGGCCCACCAAGGCGACGAUCCGUAACUGGUCUGAGAGGAUGAUCAGUCACACUGGAACUGAGACACGGUCCAGACUCCUACGGGAGGCAGCAGUGGGGAAUAUUGGACAAUGGGCGAAAGCCUGAUCCAGCCAUGCCGCGUGUGUGAAGAAGGCCUUCGGGUUGUAAAGCCCUUUUAGUUGGGAAGAAAGGCAGUAAGUUAAUACCUCGCUGUUUUGACGGUACCAAAAGAAUAAGCACCGGCUAACUUCGUG
Molecule: ribosomal RNA, 484 nt
Filed under: uncultured bacterium
Lineage: Bacteria
Description: partial 16S ribosomal RNA
Rfam family: Bacterial small subunit ribosomal RNA
Source: RNAcentral